Molecule: ribosomal RNA, 468 nt
Filed under: uncultured bacterium
Lineage: Bacteria
Description: partial 16S ribosomal RNA
Rfam family: Bacterial small subunit ribosomal RNA
Source: RNAcentral
GACGAACGCUGGCGGCGUGCUUAACACAUGCAAGUCGAACGGAAAGGCCCUGCUUUUGUGGGGUGCUCGAGUGGCGAACGGGUGAGUAACACGUGAGUAACCUGCCCUUGACUUUGGGAUAACUUCAGGAAACUGGGGCUAAUACCGGAUAGGAGCUCCUGCUGCAUGGUGGGGGUUGGAAAGUUUCGGCGGUUGGGGAUGGACUCGCGGCUUAUCAGCUUGUUGGUGGGGUAGUGGCUUACCAAGGCUUUGACGGGUAGCCGGCCUGAGAGGGUGACCGGCCAAAUUGGGACUGAGAUACGGCACAGACUCCUACGGGAGGCAGCAGUGGGGAAUAUUGCACAAUGGGAGGAAGCCUGAUGCAGCAACGCCGCGUGCGGGAUGACGGCCUUCGGGUUGUAAACCGCUUUCGCCUGUGACGAAGCGUGAGUGACGGUAAUGGGUAAAGAAGCACCGGCUAACUACGUG